UUAAUUUGAGAGUUUGAUCCUGGCUCAGGACGAACGCUGGCGGCGUGCCUAAUACAUGCAAGUCGAACGAACUCUGGUAUUGAUUGGUGCUUGCAUCAUGAUUUACAUUUGAGUGAGUGGCGAACUGGUGAGUAACACGUGGGAAACCUGCCCAGAAGCGGGGGAUAACACCUGGAAACAGAUGCUAAUACCGCAUAACAACUUGGACCGCAUGGUCCGAGCUUGAAAGAUGGCUUCGGCUAUCACUUUUGGAUGGUCCCGCGGCGUAUUAGCUAGAUGGUGGGGUAACGGCUCACCAUGGCAAUGAUACGUAGCCGACCUGAGAGGGUAAUCGGCCACAUUGGGACUGAGACACGGCCCAAAC
RNAcentral lists this ribosomal RNA (364 nucleotides) under Lactiplantibacillus plantarum. RNAcentral's name for it is "bacterial SSU rRNA". It matches the Rfam family "Bacterial small subunit ribosomal RNA", at positions 1 to 336 of the family's 1533-position model. Lineage: Bacteria; Bacillati; Bacillota; Bacilli; Lactobacillales; Lactobacillaceae. The record is from RNAcentral.